Molecule: long non-coding RNA, 445 nt
Filed under: Pan troglodytes (chimpanzee)
Lineage: Eukaryota; Metazoa; Chordata; Mammalia; Primates; Hominidae
Description: long non-coding RNA NONPTRT013438
Source: RNAcentral
ACAUUUUAAAAAUAAAAAUAAAAGCAGUUUUUACUAACAUGUAUUUAAUUUAAUGAAAUACAUCCAAAGUAUUAGAUUUCAACAUGAAAUCAAUAUUUGAAAAAUUAUUAGUGAACUAUUUUGCAUUCUUCCUUCACACUAAGCCCCAGUGUCUGUCUGUCCUUUAUGCAGCCACCACAUCUCCACUCGCAUGAGCCGUGUGGCAGGUGCCCGGUGGCCACGCGCAGCUGCUGUGAGGGACAGUGCGUGGCGAUAGCCUUCUUACCCAAGAAGCUCCAUGGGAAACAAGCUCAGGCAGGUGCUGUUCUUCUUGCAGGUCCAGGGAUGGAUGGGAUCAUGGUGACCUGGAAAGACAACUUUGACUCCUUCUACAGUGAAGUGGCUGAGCUUGGCAGGUAUGAUGCACAACCCAGAAUGCCUUCUGAAAGAGCAGAGCAUGGGGAAG